This 253-nucleotide ribosomal RNA is filed under the name uncultured prokaryote. Its description in RNAcentral is "partial 16S ribosomal RNA". It matches the Rfam family "Bacterial small subunit ribosomal RNA", at positions 524 to 776 of the family's 1533-position model. The record is from RNAcentral.
UACGAAGGGGGCUAGCGUUGUUCGGAAUUACUGGGCGUAAAGCGCAUGUAGGCGGCGAUUCAAGUCGGGGGUGAAAUCCUGAGGCUCAACCUCAGAACUGCCUUCGAUACUGCAUUGCUAGAGUAUGGAAGAGGUAGGUGGAACUGCAAGUGUAGAGGUGAAAUUCGUAGAUAUUGGAAGGAACACCAGUGGCGAAGGCGACUAUCUGGACAGAUACUGACACUGAGACACGAAAGCGUGGGGAGCAAACGGG